UUUAGCUACAAGAACAAUUUAUUACCAGCUGCUUCUCUAUUCUGACCCCGUUGGGUGAAACUGCUCAGGCACUGUUCUAGGCCCGGGGAAACAGCAGAGAAGACAAAGUGCCUGCCUUCAUGGAGUUUACAUUGGGCAAGCAAAACAGACCAUCGACAUACAGGCAUAUAACCGUACGCUCUAACGGCCAGUGGCACUGUUAUGAAGAAAUUAAAACUGAGGAAGGGGUCAGAGCUGAUGAGAAAAGACGGAUGGCUUAAGGAUCUUAUUCAGGUUUCCACAAGAAGGAGCUUUCCCAGAACGGCUGCCUCACCAUGAGGCUCCAGGAGCUUUCCCAGUAC
Long non-coding RNA from Rhinolophus ferrumequinum (greater horseshoe bat), 341 nucleotides. RefSeq lists it as uncharacterized. Lineage: Eukaryota; Metazoa; Chordata; Mammalia; Chiroptera; Rhinolophidae. The transcript is spliced from 4 exons. The record is from RefSeq and is a predicted model, not a curated record.